CUACGGGAGGCAGCAGUGGGGAAUUUUGGACAAUGGGCGCAAGCCUGAUCCAGCCAUGCCGCGUGCGGGAAGAAGGCCUUCGGGUUGUAAACCGCUUUUGUCAGGGAAGAAAAGGGUGUUUCUAAUAAAGACGCCUCAUGACGGUACCUGAAGAAUAAGCACCGGCUAACUACGUGCCAGCAGCCGCGGUAAUACGUAGGGUGCAAGCGUUAAUCGGAAUUACUGGGCGUAAAGCGUGCGCAGGCGGUUAUGCAAGACAGAUGUGAAAUCCCCGGGCUCAACCUGGGAACUGCAUUUGUGACUGCAUAGCUAGAGUACGGUAGAGGGGGAUGGAAUUCCGCGUGUAGCAGUGAAAUGCGUAGAUAUGCGGAGGAACACCGAUGGCGAAGGCAAUCCCCUGGACCUGUACUGACGCUCAUGCACGAAAGCGUGGGGAGCAAACAGGAUUAGAUACCCGGGUAGUCC
RNAcentral lists this ribosomal RNA (465 nucleotides) under uncultured bacterium. Its description in RNAcentral is "bacterial SSU rRNA". It matches the Rfam family "Bacterial small subunit ribosomal RNA", at positions 339 to 796 of the family's 1533-position model. The record is from RNAcentral.